CCCUUGUCCAGUCUGGCUUCUCUUGCUCCCCUGCCGGUGUUGAUCUGAGAGCUCGCCCCACACAAAUCUCUUGCACACACAUCAGUCACAGAGUCAGCUUCCUGGGGAGCUCAACCUAUGACCUAUCAUCUUUAGCUGUGUAUUAAUGCCUUGAAUAACAUCUCUGGCCUACCACAGAAGUUCCUGAAUAUCCAGGGAGAGGCAAUUUCUUCUGUAUCUCCAUCCUAAUGAUGUGUCUGCUUGGCAUUGGUCUGGUUCCUUCAGGACCUCAGAAGCUGUAUUGGUUCAAUGAAUGCUAAAUAUCCCAGGAGCCUGAUCUUUUAAGAGUUCAAAGAGUUCAUGGGACACAUAUGGGUAGCCCAGCACUGAUUAUACCCAUGAAAUUAAGAAGCUUGUCCCUUGUCCCUAAAGCAAUUGUCCCAGGUGUUAGUGUGAUCUCAGGACCCAGUACUUAGUCUUAUCCAAGACUAUAGGAGCAGUUCAACAGUGCAGCAAGAAGGAGGAGCUCCCACCUCAGGAUGUGUCCAUGUUUUCCAGUUGUCUGCCAGUUGCCGGUUGUCUGACCUGUGAAUAGAAGCUCAACUGAGAGUACUCUCCAAUCUUCCAACUGGCUGUUUGCCUGAAGCUGAUAAUGGAUGAUGAUAGUAACUCAGAUAAAGCUCCCAAUAAAUCUUCAUUAUCC
RNAcentral lists this long non-coding RNA (682 nucleotides) under Homo sapiens (human). Its description in RNAcentral is "HSALNT0373253". Lineage: Eukaryota; Metazoa; Chordata; Mammalia; Primates; Hominidae. The record is from RNAcentral.